AGUAACGCGUGGGUAACCGUAGCCUCAUACAGGGGGAUAACAGUUGGAAACGACUGCUAAUACCGCAUAAGCGCACAGGACCGCAUGAUCCGGUGUGAAAAACUCCGGUGGUAUGAGAUGGAUCCGCGUCUGAUUAGCCAGUUGGCAGGGUAACGGCCUACCAAAGCGACGAUCAGUAGCCGACCUGAGAGGGUGACCGGCCACAUUGGGACUGAGACACGGCCCAA
RNAcentral lists this ribosomal RNA (227 nucleotides) under uncultured bacterium. RNAcentral's name for it is "partial 16S ribosomal RNA". It matches the Rfam family "Bacterial small subunit ribosomal RNA", at positions 109 to 334 of the family's 1533-position model. The record is from RNAcentral.